AAUUUUGCGCAAUGGGCGAAAGCCUGACGCAGCAACGCCGCGUGAAUGUUAAGCCCUUCGGGGUGUAAAGUUCUGUCAGUGGGGACGAAACUUGACGGUACCCACAGAGGAAGCACCGGCUAACUCCGUGCCAGCAGCCGCGGUAAUACGGAGGGUGCAAGCGUUGUCCGGAAUCAUUGGGCGUAAAGAGUUCGUAGGUGGUAUGUUAAGUCUGGUGUUAAAGCCCGAAGCUCAACUUCGGUUCGGCACUGGAUACUGGCAAACUUGAAUGUGGUAGAGGUAAAGGGAAUUCCUGGUGUAGCGGUGAAAUGCGUAGAUAUCAGGAGGAACAUCGGUGGCGAAAGCGCUUUGCCGGGCCAUUAUUGACGCUGAGGAACGAAAGCCGGGGUAGCAAAUGGG
This 399-nucleotide ribosomal RNA is filed under the name uncultured bacterium. RNAcentral's name for it is "bacterial SSU rRNA". It matches the Rfam family "Bacterial small subunit ribosomal RNA", at positions 360 to 776 of the family's 1533-position model. The record is from RNAcentral.